Molecule: ribosomal RNA, 187 nt
Filed under: uncultured bacterium
Lineage: Bacteria
Description: partial 16S ribosomal RNA
Rfam family: Bacterial small subunit ribosomal RNA
Source: RNAcentral
GCCUUCCAUGAAGCUGGAAUUGCUAGUAAUGGCAGGUCAGCAUACUGCCGUGAAUACGUUCCCGGGCCUUGUACACACCGCCCGUCACACCAUGAGAGUUGGAAAUACCCGAAGCCUGUGAGCUAACUUAAAGAGGCAGCAGUCGAAGGUAGAGCCAAUGAUUGGGGUGAAGUCGUAACAAGGUAAC